GUAAUGCUGAUGUCGCAGGCUUGGGGACCACACCGUGAGUACCAUUCUCUCUAACACAUCUCCAAGAACCAAGAGAUGCCUCAUCUCUUCAUCCUACAAAACCUCCCUGUCUCCACCCAUGGUUGUUCACGCCGCUCCACAGAACAAUCCUUGCAUGGCCCUGCAUGGCGUGUGGUGUCUUUUCCAGGGCUGAGAGCACAUCCAACUAAAGAGUCACUGUCAAUCUCAUAUGUUCGUGUCCAACCACCCCCACAACCCCGGAGCAGAAAUCCCCCUCACCACUGGGAUGAAGAGGAGGCAAUUAAAACAUUUCCCAUUACAGAUGGAGCCUGCCGUUGGAAGCUCGUGUCUCAAAGUCCAUGAGAGGAAUGGCCCUGAACCUUUCC
Long non-coding RNA from Suricata suricatta (meerkat), 386 nucleotides. RefSeq lists it as uncharacterized. The transcript has 3 exons. The record is from RefSeq and is a predicted model, not a curated record. NCBI's taxonomy places the organism in Eukaryota, Metazoa, Chordata, Mammalia, Carnivora, Herpestidae.